This is a long non-coding RNA of Oncorhynchus tshawytscha (Chinook salmon), 280 nucleotides long. Lineage: Eukaryota; Metazoa; Chordata; Actinopteri; Salmoniformes; Salmonidae. The record is from Ensembl.
GCUAGAACAGUGCAGCGCAGAUGGAAUUCUAUAACAGUACAGUGCAGAUGGAAUGCUAGAACAGUGCAGUGCAGAUAGAAUGCUAGAUCAGUGCAGUGCAGAUGGAAUGCUAGAACAGUGCAGUGCAGAUGGAAUGCUAGAACAGUGCAGUGCAGAUGGAAUGCUAGAACAGUGUAGUGAAAACUGUUCUAGUUCUAACUCUUGUUAAAGUGACUCCCUGUGAUGUCACAGAGGCGAGAAGUGGUACAGUUUUUUUUACAGAAGAUAAUUAUCUCACCGG